This 460-nucleotide ribosomal RNA is filed under the name uncultured bacterium. Its description in RNAcentral is "partial 16S ribosomal RNA". It matches the Rfam family "Bacterial small subunit ribosomal RNA", at positions 338 to 795 of the family's 1533-position model. The record is from RNAcentral.
CCUACGGGAGGCAGCAGUGAGGAAUAUUGGUCAAUGGGCUUACGCCUGAACCAGCCAAGUCGCGUGAGGGAAGACUGCCCUAUGGGUUGUAAACCUCUUUUGUCAGGGAGCAACGCCGGCUACGUGUAGCCGGACUGAGAGUACCUGAAGAAAAAGCAUCGGCUAACUCCGUGCCAGCAGCCGCGGUAAUACGGAGGAUGCGAGCGUAAUCCGGAUUUAUUGGGUUUAAAGGGUGCGUAGGCGGAAUGCCAAGUCAGCGGUAAAAUCGCGGGGCUCAACCUCGCUCCGCCGUUGAAACUGGCGGUCUUGAGUGGGCGAGAAGUAUGCGGAAUGCGUGGUGUAGCGGUGAAAUGCAUAGAUAUCACGCAGAACUCCGAUUGCGAAGGCAGCAUACCGGCGCCCAACUGACGCUGAAGCACGAAAGCGUGGGUAUCGAACAGGAUUAGAUACCCCUGUAGUC